UGGGGAAUAUUGCACAAUGGGCGCAAGCCUGAUGCAGCAACGCCGCGUGAACGAUGAAGGUCUUCGGAUCGUAAAGUUCUGUUGCAGGGGAAGAUAAUGACGGUACCCUGUGAGGAAGCCCCGGCUAACUUCGUGCCAGCAGCCGCGGUAAUACGAAGGGGGCUAGCGUUGUUCGGAUUUACUGGGCGUAAAGCGCACGUAGGCGGACUAUUAAGUCAGGGGUGAAAUCCCGGGGCUCAACCCCGGAACUGCCUUUGAUACUGGUAGUCUUGAGUUCGAGAGAGGUGAGUGGAAUUCCGAGUGUAGAGGUGAAAUUCGUAGAUAUUCGGAGGAACACCAGUGGCGAAGGCGGCUCACUGGCGCGAUACUGACGCUGAGGUGCGAAAGCGUGGGGAGCAAACAGG
This 404-nucleotide ribosomal RNA is filed under the name Verrucomicrobiota bacterium. RNAcentral's name for it is "Verrucomicrobia bacterium partial 16S ribosomal RNA". It matches the Rfam family "Bacterial small subunit ribosomal RNA", at positions 355 to 776 of the family's 1533-position model. Lineage: Bacteria; Pseudomonadati; Verrucomicrobiota. The record is from RNAcentral.